This 1404-nucleotide ribosomal RNA is filed under the name Planococcus halocryophilus. Its description in RNAcentral is "bacterial SSU rRNA". The record is from RNAcentral. Lineage: Bacteria; Bacillati; Bacillota; Bacilli; Caryophanales; Caryophanaceae.
CGGUACGCUGCUAUACUGCAGUCGAGCGGAACCAGAGGAGCUUGCUCCUUCUGGUUUAGCGGCGGACGGGUGAGUAACACGUGGGCAACCUGCCCUGCAGAUCGGGAUAACUCCGGGAAACCGGUGCUAAUACCGAAUAGUUUGCGGCCUCUCCUGAGGCUGCACGGAAAGACGGUUUCGGCUGUCACUGCAGGAUGGGCCCGCGGCGCAUUAGCUAGUUGGUGGGGUAAUGGCCUACCAAGGCGACGAUGCGUAGCCGACCUGAGAGGGUGAUCGGCCACACUGGGACUGAGACACGGCCCAGACUCCUACGGGAGGCAGCAGUAGGGAAUCUUCCGCAAUGGACGAAAGUCUGACGGAGCAACGCCGCGUGAGUGACGAAGGUUUUCGGAUCGUAAAACUCUGUUGUGAGGGAAGAACAAGUACCAACUAACUACUGGUACCUUGACGGUACCUCACCAGAAAGCCACGGCUAACUACGUGCCAGCAGCCGCGGUAAUACGUAGGUGGCAAGCGUUGUCCGGAAUUAUUGGGCGUAAAGCGCGCGCAGGCGGUUCUUUAAGUCUGAUGUGAAAGCCCACGGCUCAACCGUGGAGGGUCAUUGGAAACUGGAGAACUUGAGUGCAGAAGAGGAAAGUGGAAUUCCAUGUGUAGCGGUGAAAUGCGUAGAGAUGUGGAGGAACACCAGUGGCGAAGGCGACUUUCUGGUCUGUAACUGACGCUGAGGCGCGAAAGCGUGGGGAGCAAACAGGAUUAGAUACCCUGGUAGUCCACGCCGUAAACGAUGAGUGCUAAGUGGUUAGGGGGUUUCCGCCCCUUAGUGCUGCAGCUAACGCAUUAAGCACUCCGCCUGGGGGAGUACGGCCGCAAGGCUGAAACUCAAAGGAAAUUGACGGGGGCCCGCACAAGCGGUGGGAGCAUGKGGKUUAUAAAACUCGUCCGUGCACUUUUCCCUUCGGGGACAGUGGUGACAGGUGGUGCAUGGUUGUCGUCAGCUCGUGUCGUGAGAUGUUGGGUUAAGUCCCGCAACGAGCGCAACCCUUGAUCUUAGUUGCCAGCAUUCAGUUGGGCACUCUAAGGUGACUGCCGGUGACAAACCGGAGGAAGGUGGGGAUGACGUCAAAUCAUCAUGCCCCUUAUGACCUGGGCUACACACGUGCUACAAUGGACGGUACAAAGGGUUGCCAACCCGCGAGGGGGAGCCAAUCCCAUAAAACCGUUCUCAGUUCGGAUUGUAGGCUGCAACUCGCCUGCAUGAAGCCGGAAUCGCUAGUAAUCGUGGAUCAGCAUGCCACGGUGAAUACGUUCCCGGGCCUUGUACACACCGCCCGUCACACCACGAGAGUUUGUAACACCCGAAGUCGGUGAGGUAACCCUUGUGGAGCCAGCCGCCGAAGGUACGAG